This is a long non-coding RNA of Esox lucius (northern pike), 2108 nucleotides long. The record is from Ensembl. Lineage: Eukaryota; Metazoa; Chordata; Actinopteri; Esociformes; Esocidae.
AUGUACAUUCCUGUCUUGUUUGUGUAUACCACAUAUUUGGUUAAAUACAUUAUAUGUACAUGAUAAUUUGCAUAGUAUAAGUAAAUGUUUUCCAUCCAUCACUUUAUCUUUCACAUCUUCUAUAUUAUAAGCUUUUGUCUUAUUGACCAGUGUCUGCACUUUAUUGUCUGGGCCAAAAAGAUCACAUUUAGGUCAUUAUAUUGCAAUUGAUUGUCAAGAAUAUUUAUAUUUUACUGUAGUAUGAUUAUUAAAUUCAGGAGUUAAAAAUGCAAAUGUGUAAUGAAUGAUAUGUUUUCAUACCGUUCGUAAAAUAUGAUACGUUUGUCUGGUGUUCGUAUCAUAUUAUAUGUUAUAAGAUAUGUUACAUUUUAGCCAAUUCCUAAUGUAUUAAACAUAUUAUGUGGGUGCCAUGGAUUAACAUUAUGUCAGGUCGUGACAAUAGGGAUGCCCCUAGCCAUCUCUAUGUUGGUCAGGGUGAUAGUCAGGGCCUGGCAGAAGCGAUGACUCUAGGGAUUUCCGCACUUUGGUUUUUGGUUGACCACAGUAAGAGGCAGCUGUCUUGCAUUGCCUCUAAUUGGCCAUCCUAUUUAAUUGGGCAUCCCUUCCACACCACUGAGUGGGUCUUUGUCUGUGCCAUAUGCAUUGCAAUUGGAUUAACAAUAAAUAGACAUUUUCUAAGCAUAAGUAAAUGUUUUCCAUCAAUCACUUUACCUUCCAGAUCAACUUUAUUAUCAGCUAUCAUCUGAUUGUCUGGUGUCUGCACUUUGUUUUCUGGGCCUAAGAGAUCACAAGUAUGUCAUUAUAUACAAUUGAUUGUCUAUAUAUAUAUAUAUAUAUUUACCUAAGUAUGACUUUCACAUUAAUGUUAUGAGAAUGGAUUUUUAUAAUAUUUAAAAUGUUCAUCCUGUUUAUUUUAAUUUAGGCUAAAUAGCUGUAAAUUACAUUUCCUAAGGGAAGGUAUGUUUUCCAUCUAACUUUACCUUCCAGAUCAAUUUCUCUACCAGAUGCUGUCUGUUCAGUAUAUAUCUUCACUGUGUUUUCUUCUCUUAGGCUUUUUGUCUCUGUUGAAUACAAAAAGGAAAAUCAAUUAUUUUAAAAUGUGAAAUUUAGGUAUAGGGCUAUACAAUACCAUGUGCGGAUGUUAAAAGGCUUCAUGAAAUAAAUUUGAUUGCUUUCUCGAAAAUAGGUUUGUUGUAUUUUUCAUGUGUUAGCAUUUCACUGAGAGAUCAAAAUGCAAUGUAUAACUUCCAUUUUCUGUUCUUCCUGUAAUUCAACUGAAAUUAACUGUAAAAGAAUCAUUACAAAAUUAAAUUAAUUGUGUUAUAUAAUGUCAAUCUAUUGUUUUUUCUUUGUUUUAUUUUCAUACUAUAUUGAUAAUAUGAUUCAUCAUUAAAUACAGUUUGUGUUUCCGGUUUCACUUAGCCUUCUUGAUGAACUUCCUCACCAGUCUGUUCAGUAGAUAUCUGCCCUGGACCUAAAACAUCAGUUAAGUAUAGAUAUACUGCAAUUUUCUGUAAUACAUAUUACAUUUUAAUUACGUUUGAUUUUCAAAGUAAAGAUUUCAAAAUGCCUUAUUGUUAUUAUUUGAUAUAUGUAUCACACACAUUAGGUUAAUAACAAUACAUCUAUCUGAUAAUCUUGUAAGGAUAAGAAUAUGUUUUCCAUUUACUAUAUUACCCUCAAGAUCAACUUUACUGUCAGGUGUCAUCUGAAUGACAGGUGUCUUCACAGUGUCUUCUGGUCCUAAAAGAUGGCAAUAAUGUCAUUAUUUAGCAAUUUGACUGUCAGGAAUAUAUGUUUAUUUUACUGAAAAAUUAUAAUCAAAUGAAAGCUUUAUAUGUAAUUAUAUUCAACAUUGCUAUGCUGUGCAUGUAUUAAACAUUAGUUUAAAUACUGUAAUUUACCUGUAAAUUAUAAUCUUUCAAAUAAAAUUACAAACCCGUUUGCAAAAAAGUUGUGACGCUGCAAAAAAUGCAAAUAGAAAUAGAAUGCCUAAAUGUGGAAUUCAUUGCAUCCUUAUAUUUCAUUGAAAAUAGUACAAAGAAAGAAAGAAAAGUUCUUGUUUUUGAAAAAAGAUAUGCCCAUUUUGAAUAUGCCAGCAACAUAUU